This 158-nucleotide non-coding RNA is filed under the name bovine gut metagenome. RNAcentral's name for it is "Lysine riboswitch". It matches the Rfam family "Lysine riboswitch aptamer". Rfam says of the family: Riboswitches are metabolite binding domains within certain messenger RNAs that serve as precision sensors for their corresponding targets. The record is from RNAcentral.
UGAUAGAGGCGCGGCCGACAUCAGUAGCUCCAUCGAAGGCGACGGGAAUCGCGGUGGUGCGAAAGGGGACGCCGCCGAAGGGUAUCGGCUUUUCCGGGCCGGUAUGCCUGGGACGCGGGAGAACAUCCUGUGUACUGUCGCAUCCGCGGAGAGCUGUC